Molecule: unclassified non-coding RNA, 351 nt
Filed under: soil metagenome
Description: partial contains 5.8S ribosomal RNA, internal transcribed spacer 2, and large subunit ribosomal RNA
Rfam family: 5.8S ribosomal RNA (bases 1-120)
Source: RNAcentral
GAUGAAGAACGCAGCGAAAUGCGAAAAGUAAUGUGAAUUGCAGAAUUCAGUGAAUCAUCGAAUCUUUGAACGCACAUUGCGCCCGCCAGUAUUCUGGCGGGCAUGCCUGUCUGAGCGUCAUUUCAACCCUCACGCCCCUAGGGCAUGGUGUUGGGGAUCGGCCAAGGCCCGCAAGGGACGGCCGGCCCCUAAAUCUAGUGGCGGACCCAUCGUGGCCUCCCCUGCGAAGUAGUAAUAUAUUCCGCAUCGGAUAGCGAUGAGCCCCUGCCGUUAAACCCCCAACUCUUUCAAGGUUGACCUCAGAUCAGGUAGGAAUACCCGCUGAACUUAAGCAUAUCAAUAAGCGGAGGA